This 208-nucleotide ribosomal RNA is filed under the name uncultured bacterium. Its description in RNAcentral is "partial 16S ribosomal RNA". It matches the Rfam family "Bacterial small subunit ribosomal RNA", at positions 568 to 774 of the family's 1533-position model. The record is from RNAcentral.
CUCGUAGGCGGCUCGACAAGUCAACCGUGAAAACCCGGGGCUCAACCCUGGGACGCCGGUCGAAACUGUCGUGGCUAGUGUCCGGUAGAGGUGAGUGGAAUUCUCGGUGUAGCGGUGAAAUGCGCAGAUAUCGAGAGGAACACCAGUAGCGAAGGCGGCUCACUGGGCCGGUACAGACGCUGAGGAGCGAAAGCGUGGGGGGCAAACA